CGAACGAGUUCUCGUUGAUGAUCGGUGCUUGCACUGAGAUUCAACAUGGGAACGAGUGGCGGACGGGUGAGUAACACGUGGGUAACCUGCCCUUAAGUGGGGGAUAACAUUUGGAAACAGAUGCUAAUACCGCAUAGAUCCAAGAACCGCAUGGUUCUUGGCUGAAAGAUGGCGUAAGCUAUCGCUUUUGGAUGGACCCGCGGCGUAUUAGCUAGUUGGUGAGGUAAUGGCUCACCAAGGCGAUGAUACGUAGCCGAACUGAGAGGUUGAUCGGCCACAUUGGGACUGAGACACGGCCCAAACUCCUACGGGAGGCAGCAGUAGGGAAUCUUCCACAAUGGACGCAAGUCUGAUGGAGCAACGCCGCGUGAGUGAAGAAGGCUUUCGGGUCGUAAAACUCUGUUGUUGGAGAAGAAUGGUCGGCAGAGUAACUGUUGUCGGCGUGACGGUAUCCAACCAGAAAGCCACGGCUAACUACGUGCCAGCAGCCGCGGUAAUACGUAGGUGGCAAGCGUUAUCCGGAUUUAUUGGGCGUAAAGCGAGCGCAGGCGGUUUUUUAAGUCUGAUGUGAAAGCCCUCGGCUUAACCGAGGAAGCGCAUCGGAAACUGGGAAACUUGAGUGCAGAAGAGGACAGUGGAACUCCAUGUGUAGCGGUGAAAUGCGUAGAUAUAUGGAAGAACACCAGUGGCGAAGGCGGCUGUCUGGUCUGUAACUGACGCUGAGGCUCGAAAGCAUGGGUAGCGAACAGGAUUAGAUACCCUGGUAGUCCAUGCCGUAAACGAUGAAUGCUAGGUGUUGGAGGGUUUCCGCCCUUCAGUGCCGCAGCUAACGCAUUAAGCA
RNAcentral lists this ribosomal RNA (841 nucleotides) under uncultured bacterium. RNAcentral's name for it is "bacterial SSU rRNA". It matches the Rfam family "Bacterial small subunit ribosomal RNA", at positions 63 to 866 of the family's 1533-position model. The record is from RNAcentral.